UAAAUACAGGGGCACCUUAGUAGCUCAUUGGUUAAGUAUCUACCUUCUGCUCAGGUCAUGAUCUCAGGGUCCUGGGUACAAGCCCCACAUCAGGCUCUCU
Mustela erminea (ermine) is the source of this 100-nucleotide long non-coding RNA. RefSeq lists it as uncharacterized. The record is from RefSeq and is a predicted model, not a curated record. Lineage: Eukaryota; Metazoa; Chordata; Mammalia; Carnivora; Mustelidae. The transcript has 3 exons.